UCGGGAAUUUUGGGCAAUGGGCGAAAGCCUGACCCAGCAACGCCGCGUGAAGGAUGAAGUAUUUCGGUAUGUAAACUUCGUAAGAAUAGGAAGAAUAAAUGACGGUACUAUUUGUAAGGUCCGGCUAACUACGUGCCAGCAGCCGCGGUAAUACGUAGGGACCAAGCGUUGUUCGGAUUUACUGGGCGUAAAGGGCGCGUAGGCGGUGUGUCAAGUCAGUUGUGAAAUCUCCGAGCUUAACUCGGAACGGUCAACUGAUACUGUCACACUAGAGUACAGAAGGGGCAAUCGGAAUUCUUGGUGUAGCGGUGAAAUGCGUAGAUAUCAAGAGGAACACCUGAGGCGAAGGCGGCUUACUAGACGAGAUCUGACGCUCAGGCACGAAAGCGUGGGGAGCAAAAAGGAUUAGAUACCCCCGUAGUCCCUGAGCGGGCUGGCAAGGCGCAU
This 447-nucleotide ribosomal RNA is filed under the name uncultured bacterium. RNAcentral's name for it is "bacterial SSU rRNA". It matches the Rfam family "Bacterial small subunit ribosomal RNA", at positions 355 to 825 of the family's 1533-position model. The record is from RNAcentral.